Molecule: ribosomal RNA, 440 nt
Filed under: uncultured bacterium
Lineage: Bacteria
Description: partial 16S ribosomal RNA
Rfam family: Bacterial small subunit ribosomal RNA
Source: RNAcentral
CCUACGGGUGGCAGCAGUAGGGAAUAUUGCUCAAUGGGGGAAACCCUGAAGCAGCAACGCCGCGUGGAGGCUGAAGGUUCUCGGAUUUUAAACUCCCUUUGUUAGAGAAGUUAAUGACGGCACCUGACGAUUAAGCACCGGCUAACUCCGUGACAGCAGCCGCGGUAAUACGGAGGGUGCAAGCGUUAUUCGGAAUCACUGGGCGUAAAGAGCGCGUAGGCGGGAUAGCAAGUCAGAUGUGAAAUGCUAUGGCUUAACCAUAGAACUGCAUUUGAAACUGUUAUUCUAGAGUAUAGGAGAGGUAGGUGGAAUUCUUGGUGUAGGGGUAAAAUCCUUAGAGAUCAAGAGGAAUACUCAUUGCGAAGGCAACCUGCUAGAACAUAACUGACGCUGAUGCGCGAAAGCGUGGGGAGCAAACAGGAUUAGAUACCCGAGUAGUC